Molecule: ribosomal RNA, 403 nt
Filed under: Verrucomicrobiota bacterium
Lineage: Bacteria; Pseudomonadati; Verrucomicrobiota
Description: Verrucomicrobia bacterium partial 16S ribosomal RNA
Rfam family: Bacterial small subunit ribosomal RNA
Source: RNAcentral
UGGGGAAUAUUGCACAAUGGAGGGAACUCUGAUGCAGCGACGCCGCGUGAACGAAGAAGGCUUUCGAGUCGUAAAGUUCUUUUAUAUGGGAAGAUAAUGACGGUACCAUAAGAAAAAGCCUCGGCUAACUACGUGCCAGCAGCCGCGGUAAUACGUAGGGGGCUAGCGUUGUCCGGAAUCACUGGGCGUAAAGGGUUCGCAGGCGGAAAUGCAAGUCAGGUGUAAAAGGCAGUAGCUUAACUACUGUAAGCAUUUGAAACUGCAUAUCUUGAGAAGAGUAGAGGUAAGUGGAAUUUUUAGUGUAGCGGUGAAAUGCGUAGAUAUUAAAAAGAAUACCGGUGGCGAAGGCGACUUGCUGGGCUCAUUCUGACGCUGAGGAACGAAAGCGUGGGUAGCAAACAGG